CCUAACACAUGCAAGUCGAACGGUAACAGGAAGAAGCUUGCUUCUUUGCUGACGAGUGGCGGACGGGUGAGUAAUGUCUGGGAAACUGCCUGAUGGAGGGGGAUAACUACUGGAAACGGUAGCUAAUACCGCAUAACGUCGCAAGACCAAAGAGGGGGACCUUCGGGCCUCUUGCCACCGGAUGUGCCCAGAUGGGAUUAGCUAGUAGGUGGGGUAACGGCUCACCUAGGCGACGAUCCCUAGCUGGUCUGAGAGGAUGACCAGCCACACUGGAACUGAGACACGGUCCAGACUCCUACGGGAGGCAGCAGUGGGGAAUAUUGCACAAUGGGCGCAAGCCUGAUGCAGCCAUGCCGCGUGUAUGAAGAAGGCCUUCGGGUUGUAAAGUACUUUCAGCGGGGAGGAAGGGAGUAAAGUUAAUACCUUUGCUCAUUGACGUUACCCGCAGAAGAAGCACCGGCUAACUCCGUGCCAGCAGCCGCGGUAAUACGGAGGGUGCAAGCGUUAAUCGGAAUUACUGGGCGUAAAGCGCACGCAGGCGGUUUGUUAAGUCAGAUGUGAAAUCCCCGGGCUCAACCUGGGAACUGCAUCUGAUACUGGCAAGCUUGAGUCUCGUAGAGGGGGGUAGAAUUCCAGGUGUAGCGGUGAAAUGCGUAGAGAUCUGGAGGAAUACCGGUGGCGAAGGCGGCCCCCUGGACGAAGACUGACGCUCAGGUGCGAAAGC
Molecule: ribosomal RNA, 724 nt
Filed under: uncultured bacterium
Lineage: Bacteria
Description: bacterial SSU rRNA
Rfam family: Bacterial small subunit ribosomal RNA
Source: RNAcentral